CUACGGGAGGCAGCAGUGGGGAAUUUUCCGCAAUGGGCGAAAGCCUGACGGAGCAAUACCGCGUGAGGGAAGACUGCCUAUGGGUUGUAAACCUCUUUUUUCAGGGAGGAAUCAAUGACGUGUACCUGAAGAAUAAGCAUCGGCUAACUCCGUGCCAGCAGCCGCGGUAAGACGGAGGAUGCAAGUGUUAUCCGGAAUCACUGGGCGUAAAGCGUCUGUAGGUGGUUUAAUAAGUCAACUGUUAAAUCUUGAGGCUCAACUUCAAAAUCGCAGUCGAAACUAUUAGACUAGAGUAUAGUAGAGGUAAGGGGAAUUUCCAGUGGAGCGGUGAAAUGCGUAGAUAUUGGAAAGAACACCGAUGGCGAAAGCACUUUACUGGGCUAUUACUAACACUCAGAGACGAAAGCUAGGGUAGCAAAUGGGAUUAGAUACCCCAGUAGUCCUAGCCGUAAACAAUGGAUACUAGAUGUUGAACAGAUCGACCUGUGCAGUAUCAAAGCUAACGCGUUAAGUAUCCCGCCUGGGAAGUAUGCUCGCAAGAGUGAAACUCAAAG
Molecule: ribosomal RNA, 554 nt
Filed under: uncultured bacterium
Lineage: Bacteria
Description: bacterial SSU rRNA
Rfam family: Bacterial small subunit ribosomal RNA
Source: RNAcentral